Molecule: ribosomal RNA, 808 nt
Filed under: uncultured Calothrix sp.
Lineage: Bacteria; Bacillati; Cyanobacteriota; Cyanophyceae; Nostocales; Calotrichaceae
Description: bacterial SSU rRNA
Rfam family: Bacterial small subunit ribosomal RNA
Source: RNAcentral
AGAGUUUGAUCCUGGCUCAGGAUGAUACGCUGGCGGUCUGCUUAACACAUGCAAGUCGAACGGACCUUUUCGGAGGUUAGUGGCGGACGGGUGAGUAACGCGUGAGAAUCUAGCUACAGGAUGGGAACAACAGUUGGAAACGACUGCUAACGCCCGAUGUGCCGAGAGGUGAAAUAUUGAAUAGCCUGUAGAUGAGCUCGCGUCUGAUUAGCUAGUUGGUGGGGUAAGAGCUUACCAAGGCGACGAUCAGUAGCUGGUCUGAGAGGAUGAUCAGCCACACUGGGACUGAGACACGGCCCAGACUCCUACGGGAGGCAGCAGUGGGGAAUUUUCCGCAAUGGGCGCAAGCCUGACGGAGCAAGACCGCGUGGGGGAGGAAGGUCUGUGGAUUGUAAACCCCUUUUCUCAGGGAAGAAGGUCUGACGGUACCUGAGGAAUCAGCCUCGGCUAACUCCGUGCCAGCAGCCGCGGUAAUACGGAGGAGGCAAGCGUUAUCCGGAAUUAUUGGGCGUAAAGCGUCCGUAGGUGGAGUAUCAAGUCAGUUGUCAAAGUGCGAGGCUUAACUUCGUGAGGGCGAUUGAAACUGAUAGUCUAGAGUGUGACAGGGGUUAGGGGAAUUCCCAGUGUAGCGGUGAAAUGCGUAGAUAUUGGGAAGAACACCGGUGGCGAAAGCGCCUAACUGGGUCUGCACUGACACUGAGGGACGAAAGCCAGGGGAGCGAAAGGGAUUAGAUACCCCUGUAGUCCUGGCUGUAAACGAUGGGUACUAGGCGUUGGACGUAUCGACCCGUUCAGUGCCGUAGCUAAC